CAAGUCGAGCGAGGCGGAGGGGGCAACUCCUCCAGUCGAGCGGCGGACGGGUGAGUAACACGUGGGCAAUCUGCCCGAAAGUGGGGAAUACCCCAGGGAAACUUGGGCUAAUACCGCAUGUGAUCGCGACCUCGAGAGAGGAUGCGAUCAAAGGGGGGUCGCAAGACCUCCCGCUUUCGGAGGAGCCCGCGCCCGAUUAGCUAGUUGGUGAGGUAACGGCUCACCAAGGCUUCGAUCGGUAGCCGGCCUGAGAGGGUGAUCGGCCACACCGGAACUGAGACACGGUCCGGACUCCUACGGGAGGCAGCAGUGGGGAAUCUUGCGCAAUGGGCGAAAGCCUGACGCAGCAACGCCGCGUGAAGGAUGAAGGUCCUUGGAUUGUAAACUUCUGUCGGCCGGGAAGAAAUUCAUCGGGGUCAAUACCCCCGGUGAUUGACUGUACCGGCAAAGGAAGCCCCGGCUAACUCUGUGCUAGCAGCCGCGGUAAUACAGAGGGGGCAAGCGUUAUUCGGAAUUAUUGGGCGUAAAGGGCGCGUAGGCGGUCCUUCAAGUCUCUCGUGAAAUCCCUCGGCUUAACUGAGGACGUGCGGGAGAUACUGCUGGGCUUGAGUCCGGAAGAGGGUGGUGGAAUUCCCAGUGUAGCGGUGAAAUGCGUAGAUAUUGGGAGGAACACCGGUGGCGAAGGCGGCCACCUGGGCCGGAACUGACGCUGAGGCGCGAAAGCGUGGGGAGCAAACGGGAUUAGAUACCCCGGUAGUCCACGCCGUAAACGAUGGGCACUUGGUGUCGCGGGUAUCGACCCCUGCGGUGCC
RNAcentral lists this ribosomal RNA (812 nucleotides) under uncultured Bacillota bacterium. RNAcentral's name for it is "bacterial SSU rRNA". It matches the Rfam family "Bacterial small subunit ribosomal RNA", at positions 58 to 847 of the family's 1533-position model. The record is from RNAcentral. Lineage: Bacteria; Bacillati; Bacillota.